AACGGUCUAUACCUGCGGUACCUGCGGAGGGAUCAUUAACACAAAUGAUACAACCCCUUUUUGGUUGAAGAGUGACAGAUCUUUUUACGGAUUCAAUCUCUUCAACCAAAUUACCACAAUGGAAAAUGUUAAAGUCCAUUAACAUUUUUUUUUAAUGUUACUGGAUUUUAGUCAUAUCAUUUAACAAAGACACCGUCUAAAAUCAUCACACCUGUUAUGAUUAUGUCGUAAAUGAAUAAU
This 240-nucleotide unclassified non-coding RNA is filed under the name soil metagenome. Its description in RNAcentral is "partial contains 5.8S ribosomal RNA, internal transcribed spacer 2, and large subunit ribosomal RNA". The record is from RNAcentral.